RNAcentral lists this ribosomal RNA (477 nucleotides) under uncultured bacterium. RNAcentral's name for it is "partial 16S ribosomal RNA". It matches the Rfam family "Bacterial small subunit ribosomal RNA", at positions 28 to 507 of the family's 1533-position model. The record is from RNAcentral.
GAUUAACGCUGGCGGCGUGCAUAACACAUGCAAGUCGAACGAUGAAACUUUAAUGAACCCUUCGGGGAGAAUUAAAGCGGAUUAGUGGCGAACGGGUGAGUAACGCGUGAGUAACCUGCCUUACACAAGGGGAUAGCCUUUGGAAACGAAGAAUAAUACCCUAUAACACCAUAAAAGCACAUGCAAUUAUGGUCAAAGUGAUAGCGGUGUAAGAUGGACUUGCGUCUGAUUAGCUAGUUGGUGAGAUAAAAGCCCACCAAGGCAACGAUCAGUAGCCGGCUUGAGAGAGUGUACGGCCACAUUGGGACUGAGACACGGCCCAGACUCCUACGGGAGGCAGCAGUGGGGAAUUUUGCACAAUGGGGGAAACCCUGAUGCAGCGACGCCGCGUGAUUUAGAAGGCCUUCGGGUUGUAAAAAUCUUUUGUAUAGGAAGAAAAUGACAGUACUAUACGAAUAAGGUCCGGCUAAUUACGUG